CACGUAGGGUGCGAGCGUUGUCCGGAAUUAUUGGGCGUAAAGGGCUCGUAGGCGGUUUGUCACGUCGGGAGUGAAAACUCGGGGCUCAACCCCGAGCCUGCUUCCGAUACGGGCAGACUAGAGGUAUGCAGGGGAGAAUGGAAUUCCUGGUGUAGCGGUGAAAUGCGUAGAGAUCGGAAAGAACACCAACGGCGAAAGCACUCUGCUGGGCCGACACCGACACUGAGAGACGAAAGCUAGGGGAGCGAAUGGG
Molecule: ribosomal RNA, 253 nt
Filed under: uncultured bacterium
Lineage: Bacteria
Description: partial 16S ribosomal RNA
Rfam family: Bacterial small subunit ribosomal RNA
Source: RNAcentral